UUGCUCUGGCAGCACAGCUACUGAAAUUAGAGCCACACAGAGAAGAUUAGCGCGGCCCCUGAACAAGGGUGACACACAAAUUCGAGAAGCAUUCCAUAACAGA
Stegostoma tigrinum is the source of this 103-nucleotide small nuclear RNA. NCBI's taxonomy places the organism in Eukaryota, Metazoa, Chordata, Chondrichthyes, Orectolobiformes, Stegostomatidae. The record is from RefSeq and is a predicted model, not a curated record.